AAUAGAUACCCUGGUAGUCCACGCUGUAAACGUUGGGCGCUAGGUGUGGGGGGCCUCUCCGGUUCCCUGUGCCGCAGCUAACGCAUUAAGCGCCCCGCCUGGGGAGUACGGCCGCAAGGCUAAAACUCAAAGGAAUUGACGGGGGGCCCGCACAAGCGGCGGAGCAUGCGGAUUAAUUCGAUGCAACGCGAAGAACCUUACCUGGGGUUUGACAUGGCCGCAAAACUGUCAGAGAUGGCAGGUCCUUCGGGGCGGGUCACAGGUGGUGCAUGGCUGUCGUCAGCUCGUGUCGUGAGAUGUUGGGUUAAGUCCCGCAACGAGCGCAACCUCGUUCGAUGUUGCCAGCGCGUUAUGGCGGGGACUCAUCGAAGACUGCCGGGGUCGAACUCGGAGGAAGGUGGGGAUGACGUCAAGUCAUCAUGCCCCUUAUGUCCAGGGCUUCACGCAUGCUACAAUGGCCGGUACAAUGGGCUGCGAUACCGUGAGGUGGAGCGAACCCCAAAAACGCCGGUCUACGNGUUCGGGAUCGGGGGUCUGCUAACCCG
RNAcentral lists this ribosomal RNA (545 nucleotides) under uncultured bacterium. RNAcentral's name for it is "bacterial SSU rRNA". It matches the Rfam family "Bacterial small subunit ribosomal RNA", at positions 777 to 1314 of the family's 1533-position model. The record is from RNAcentral.